GAUGAACGCUAGCGGGAGGCCUAACACAUGCAAGCCGAGCGGUAUUUGUUCUUCGGAACAGAGAGAGCGGCGCACGGGUGCGGAACACGUGUGCAACCUGCCUUUAUCUGGGGGAUAGCCUUUCGAAAGGAAGAUUAAUACCCCAUAAUAUAUUGAGUGGCAUCACUUGAUAUUGAAAACUCCGGUGGAUAGAGAUGGGCACGCGCAAGAUUAGAUAGUUGGUGAGGUAACGGCUCACCAAGUCAAUGAUCUUUAGGGGGCCUGAGAGGGUGAUCCCCCACACUGGUACUGAGACACGGACCAGACUCCUACGGGAGGCAGCAGUGAGGAAUAUUAGGCGAUGGGUUAGCGCCUGAUCCAGCCCUCCCGCGUGAAGGACGACGGCCCUAUGGGUUGUAAACUUCUUUUGUAUAGGGAUACACCUACUCUCGUGAGAGUAGCUGAAGGUACUAUACGAAUAAGCACCGGCUAACUCCGUG
Molecule: ribosomal RNA, 479 nt
Filed under: uncultured bacterium
Lineage: Bacteria
Description: partial 16S ribosomal RNA
Rfam family: Bacterial small subunit ribosomal RNA
Source: RNAcentral